AUGGGAUUCCGUGAUAUCCACUGCUUCAACCUAGCUUUGCUCGCCAAACAAGCAUGGCGUCUUAUUGAUAAUCCUGAUUCCUUGUGUGCCACUAUUUUGAGGGCCAAGUACUACCCUGAUGGCGAUUUGCUGAAGUCUAAGCCAAAGCGUGGUGCUUCUUUCACCUGGCAGAGCAUUAUGGCAGGUAUAACUACUCUGAAACGUGGCUAUAUUUGGCGAGUGGGUAAUGGACAUAACAUCAAUAUCUGGGAAGAUGCCUGGAUCCCAAACUGUGUCACUAGGAAGAUUGUGACCCCUAGGGGGAGCCAUUUGCUAUCAAAAGUGAGUGACCUGAUUGACCCUGCUUCCAACAAUUGGGACGAGGAACUGAUUAGACAAACUAUGUGGCCCAUUGACGCACAACGAAUUCUUUCAAUCCCACUUUCGCAAUAUGAUAUGACAUAUUUCAUUGCCUGGAGUUACACAAAAAAUGGUAUGAUCUCGGUAAGGUCUGCUUACUCGGUGGAAUGUAAUUAUCAGUACGGGAGUAGACUCAAAUAUUCUAAUGGGAUGGGGCGAAGCAUACCAAAUCCUAUUUGGUGUCAGAUAUGGAAGUUAUCCUGCCCAGCAAAAGUUAAAAUUUUUAUAUGGUGUACAUUACAUGGCACUCUCCCAUGCCGGGUAACACUCGCUAAUAGACACAUGAAGUUCUCGCCCUCUUGCCCGACUUGCUCUUGGGGUUUAGAAGAUACGAAGCACAUGCUUUUCCUCUGUAGUAAAGCAAAGGAGGUUUGGAAGAGACUAGGGAUGGAUGUGAUUAUUGAUAAAGCUUGUGAGGUUGAUCUUGCCGGGGAGGCAAUAUUGGAAUACCUUCUACUUCUUCCAGACCAAGACUUGAGUAUUAUGGGGUACCAAAAUGUACGUGAAAUGAUAGCUAUUUCAGCUUGGUACCUAUGGUGGGAAAGACGAAAGUUAGUGCAUAAGGAAUUAACUCAGAAUGCAAAUCAGAUAGCAAUAGGGAUCAUAGCUCUCACAUCCAACUUUGUAAAUGCAUCAUCUCCAAAGGCCACGAUGAAAAAGGGGGGUUGGUACUGCCCUCCUAGGGGUUUUGUGAAACUUAAUGUUGACUUUUGA
This 1113-nucleotide ribosomal RNA is filed under the name Triticum aestivum (bread wheat). RNAcentral's name for it is "partial small subunit ribosomal RNA". The record is from RNAcentral. Lineage: Eukaryota; Viridiplantae; Streptophyta; Magnoliopsida; Poales; Poaceae.